GGGGCGGGGCCGCGCCUGCGCAGACGUUCCCUCUCGGUCCACUCUUAGGCGCAGACCGGAAAUCUUCCCGGUACCGGCGGCUUCCAACCGGGGACCGAGACUCACCUUCCGGGCACCGGGAAGCUACGGAACAGGUUUCCGGGUUGCAGCACCCAAUGACUACCGCAAAGGCCGGAAGUGCGUCAGCCGUUCUGAGCCCAGUGGCUCAAGCCAGGCAACUCUUUCCUUUCUAGGAAUUCCUGAGGUGGUUGCAUCCUGGUGACUCCUUUAUUGCAUACCCGGGGCCAGAAAUCCCAGCCCCACUGGGUGCGAGGUGAAGAAAUGCAGCGAGGGAUUUCUGCGGGGAGCGCCCCCCAGCCUUUAGGAGUGAGAUGGUCGUAGAGACGCAGAACAGAGCAGGAAGGUGUUAGGAAGAUAUAAAGGAAGAGAGAGCGAGAAACAGGAGGGAUCUGCAGAAAUAGCCCUGGAAGCUGGAGUGAGGCCUGAGGACUGCCUUGGCCCAGGAUGGCUAGAGAAUUUAGUGAAAGAGCGGCCCUGGACGCCCAGUCUACAGAAGACCAGACGGAGCUUCUGGUCAUAAAGGUGGAGGAAGAAGAGGCCGGUUUUCCCAGUAGCGCGGAUCUGGGUUCCGAGCGCUCGCGCCAGCGCUUCCGCGGCUUCCGCUUCCCGGAGGCUGCGCGCCCCCGCCAGGCGCUGAGCCGCCUCCGAGAGCUCUGCCGACAGUGGCUGCAGCCCGAGAUGCACAGCAAGGAGCAGAUCGUGGAGCUGCUGGUGCUGGAGCAGUUCCUGACCAUCCUGCCGGGGAGCGUGCAGAGCUGGGUGCGGGAGCGGCAUCCAGAGAGCGGGGAGGAGGUGGUGCUGCUGCUGGAGUAUUUGGAGAGGCGGCGGGAUGAGCCGGCGCCGCAGGUUCCAGGCAUUGACCAGGGGCAAGAGCUUCCCUGUUGCAAGAUGGCACUGUUGCCAGCAUCCCCAGAGUCACAAAGUAGCCAAGCUCAGCUAAUGAAGGCUCUGUUCAAGCAUGAAUCUUUGAGAUCCCAACUCUUGCAAGACAGAGUUCUCCAGGUCCCUGUGUUUGCCCAUGGAGGGUACUGCAGAGGAGAUGCAGUGGUAGCUUCUGGGGUUACUCCAGAGUCCCAGGGGUUGCUGAAAGUGGAAGAUGUGGCCCUGACUCUCACCCCUGAAUGGACACAGCAGGAUUCAUCUCAGGUGAAUCUCUGUAGAGAUGAAAAGCAGGAGAACCAUGGCAGCCUGGUCUCCCUGGGUGGUGAAAUACAGAGUAAGAGCAGGGACUUGCCUCCAGCUGAGGAGCUUCCAGAAAAGGAGCAUGGAAAGAUAUCAUGCUACCUGAUUGAAGACAUUGCCCAGAUUCCUACAUGUGCACAAGCUGGUGAACAGGAGGGCAGGUUACAAAGAAAGCAGAAAAAUGCCACAGGAGGGAGGCGGCACAUCUGUCAUGAAUGUGGAAAGAGUUUUGCUCAAAGUUCAGGCCUGAGUAAACACAGGAGAAUCCACACUGGCGAGAAACCCUAUGAAUGUGAGGAGUGUGGCAAAGCCUUCAUUGGGAGCUCUGCCCUCGUCAUUCAUCAGAGAGUCCACACUGGGGAGAAGCCAUACGAGUGUGAAGAAUGUGGCAAGGCUUUCAGUCACAGCUCAGACCUUAUCAAACACCAGAGAACCCACACUGGGGAGAAGCCCUACGAGUGUGAUGACUGUGGGAAGACCUUUAGCCAGAGCUGCAGCCUCCUUGAACAUCACAGAAUCCACACUGGGGAGAAGCCGUAUCAGUGUAACAUGUGUGGCAAAGCCUUUAGGCGAAGUUCACAUCUCCUGAGACAUCAGAGGAUUCAUACUGGGGAUAAAAAUGUUCAGGAACCUGAGCAGGGAGACGCCUGGAAAAGUAGGAUGGAAAGCCAGUUGGAAAAUGUUGAAACUCCCAUGUCUUACAAAUGUAAUGAGUGUGAAAGAAGUUUCACUCAGAAUUCAGGCCUCAUUGAACAUCAAAAAAUCCACACUGGUGAGAAACCCUAUCAGUGUAACGCAUGUGGAAAAGGCUUCACCCGAAUCUCAUACCUUGCUCAACAUCAGAGAAGCCACGCAGGGAGAAACAUCCUAUCACAGUGACCAUGCCGUCGACGUGAGUUGGUGCUCAUUUGUGACCGAUCUGAAGUCUGGAUUAUAGAACUGGAGUCUGGAUUAUAGAAUUUGUGGACUGGGCUUCAUUUACCGCUAAACAUUAUCAGGUGUUAGAAAAUACAGACUGGGUUAGAUGAAUUAUCUUCUAAAUUCUAGAAGGUGUUUGGAAUCAAAACAUGCUUGAUGGGAGACUGUGGAAAAGUUGUCUAGAAGAGGAAUUGGUUCAUAUGAUUAUCGAGGCUGAGAAGUCCCAGCUUCUCCGAUCUGCAAACUAGAGAUGUAGCAGAGCCAAUGGAGUGAGCAGUCAAAAGGCCAGCAGAUUCAAGACCCAGAAGUCAGUGUUCUAGUUUGAGUCUGAAGGCCAGAAAAGACUGAUGUCCCAGCUCAAGAUGGUCAGGAGGCGUACCCCUUGAGCAUCACGGAUUGCCUGCGCUCCACAUUCUGGAUGAUAUUAUCCUACCUAUAACUGCAGCUUCACAAGUAGGGGCCAGGACCUGUUCCAGCACCUACUUCUUGACAUGUAUUUCUGGCCUCAGGAACUACUGGCAAAGCUUCCCAAGUUUUCUGACAGCUCUGUGAAGUCCAGCUCCUCUCAACGUUUAUCAAGCCCGACCUCACCAGAGACAAUGAAGGGCUGGAGGGCACGAACCUGAGGCCCCCGCCUCCAAAGGUUCAUCGCAAAGGCCGGAAACGCCGGUACUUUCAGGUCCCGCCGCCGCCAACGGCGGUCUCAGCAUUCGGCCUCUCUAGGAUUCUGGAGGCUUUCUCCUCUCUGUGGUUGCCCGGCCGUACCCCGCCCAGCUGAGCACCGCGUUCCAGCUGAGCAGUCAGGUUACCCCAGGGACCCAGGGACCCAGGCCGGGGCGCGUCAGACCCGCGCGACGCCAGCCUUCCCGCUGCGGAACGUCGGAAGAGCAGCUCCGAAGUAAAACUGCGGAUACCAUGGGCUGCUAGUUACCUCCGAUAACUAACGGGCGGAGACAAAAGGGCAGAAAUCUCUCCUUUUCCAACUUGAGCGGGACUCCAUCUUUCUGCUCCUUCUUCAUUUAUAACGUGAGAAGGCUGAAAAGUUACUCUUUAAAGCUUCCCCCGACCCUCACGGUCCGUGAUUAUAAUCUGAAGAGUGGCAGGCCCCGGAAAGGGUCCCUAGGACGCCGGCCAGCGUCGGUGACCCGCCGCUGUCCAGAAAUGCCGGCAAGCGCUGAACCCAGUAAUACACAGCCCGAGGCAAACCUGGAAGGUAUGUAUGAGCCUCACAGCCGGGAAUUCCCGCAGACACUGGGAGCCGACCCCUCACCCCGAAGGGUCCCAAAGCACUUUGGAGAGGGAGAGCUUCCCGCGGAUCCGCCUGGGAUUGGGAGGACGGGGGUGCCCUCUACACCAGCCAGAGCCUGAGGGGCCCAGCGGCUGGAAUACAGCAAUCUCCCGCCCACCUGCCCGCCGCGCACGAAGGACAACGUCGCUCACCUGCGGCCGCCGGCGCCAGCAGGGCACUCCCUCCUAGCGAGCGAAGGGCGGAGUCCUCACACCCUUUCCGGAACCGGAACCCAUCAAAAGCGAUGCACAAAGGCCGGAAGCGGCCGCGGAGGCGCCCUUCCGCUGCCGCUCCCGGAAGGGGGCGAGGGCCUUUCGACUCAGUAGUGUUUCCGGGUGCCUACGCGAGAGUGAUACUCAGGGCUCUCAGGCCCGCAGGUGACAGGUCAUCUCUCAGCUGUCUUUAAGAAAUGUGCAACAGAUUAAGAAAAAGUCUGAAAACUAUUUCAAUAGGUCUAUGCUGUGUACAACUCCCAAGAUUCAGAGCUGAGCUGACCCUUUACUGGCUGGAGCCAGACGCCAGCCUAAGGUUGAACGCUAUACUCUAUUGGUCCCUAUACCACUGAAACACUCCUGUGCUUCCAGGACAUCAUCCAUCUUGUCUGGUAAACCAUUCACUCAAUAGGUUCAUCUUCGGUAACUAGCUAUGUUAAGAAUGGGUUUGUCUUAACAGGGGGUUUGGGUUAGGGACCCUGUGUUUUGUUUCUGCAGACAUAUUAUCCCAUCCUUUCUUGCCUAAUCCAAUAGUUCUAUUACUGGGGGUUAUCUUGGGCUAGGUGGCUACACCUAAGUCUCCAGCAGCCUUUUUCAUGUAUGUUCUGCAUUAGUUUUGACGACAGAACACUGUAAUCUUUCUGAUUCUCUUGUCUCUUCUAUCUCCUUGGUUGAAAAAAUAUUGCCUACUGUAAAAAUUUUUAGUAUAGGGACCACAUAUCCUGGUUUAUGCCUUUUGUCUUGGUGUAAUUAUUAACAGCACUCCUUUUCAUUUUCAGUGAAAAAGAUUCUCAGGUUCUGUUUCAGAAACUGAUUCAGUAGUUAAGUGCAGAUUCUCAGGCUCUGUCUCAGAAACUGCUUCAGUAGGUUUGGGGUGGGGCUCAGAAAACUGCAGUUCAGACAAACAACCCAGGUGACUCUAGUGCAGGUAUCAUCAAGAAAUAGUGUCUUCAACACUGCCCAUUGGCAAUUGGCAUAGAAAACUAGGGAUAGGUUCAAAGAGACCUAAAAAUCACAGAGGUUUAUAGACUAUGCUUUUCUCCCUAUCCAUUUUAUGGGAAAUAAUAAAAUGUGUGAGGAGUAAAGGGCAGUGAGAUUAUUUUCACUGCUUAAACAACAGCAUCUAAAAACUCAGACCAGAUAAAUAAGAGAGAUUUCUAAUAAUGAAGAUGAAGCACGUUUCUUGGCAAUAAUCUGUCCCUGCGUCUAUCUUUUUAUUUUUCCUUUGGUCGCCAUUUUUUGCCCAAUCUAGAGUUUUGGCAUCUAACUUUACCUUCUGAUUCCUUUUUAUGUCCUCAUAUUUUGUUCUUUUUUCUUUCCAUCCCACUUUGUUGCUGCUGUUGUUCGCAGAUGCCUACAAUGAGUCUCAGGGUUCCAAGUGUAAGUGUCUAUGAAACCAUAUAAA
This is a non-coding RNA of Saimiri boliviensis boliviensis (Bolivian squirrel monkey), 5065 nucleotides long. The record is from RefSeq and is a predicted model, not a curated record. NCBI's taxonomy places the organism in Eukaryota, Metazoa, Chordata, Mammalia, Primates, Cebidae.